UAGUCUGGUGUUCUAGGCGUAUUGGAACCACACCAUCUUUUAAACCAAACUUGGUUGUUAAACUUUACUGCGGUGACAAUACUAUAGGGGAGACUCUAUGGGAAAAUAGCUCAAUGCCA
This 119-nucleotide ribosomal RNA is filed under the name Monotropa uniflora (ghost pipe). The record is from RNAcentral. Lineage: Eukaryota; Viridiplantae; Streptophyta; Magnoliopsida; Ericales; Ericaceae.